Molecule: microRNA precursor, 117 nt
Filed under: Pelobates cultripes (western spadefoot toad)
Lineage: Eukaryota; Metazoa; Chordata; Amphibia; Anura; Pelobatidae
Source: RNAcentral
GUGUGUGUGUGUGUUUGUAUAGUGUGUGUAUAUAAUGCAGUGUGUUUGUGUAGUGUGCAUUAUAUAAACACACUACACAAACACUGCAUUAUAUACACACACUAUACAAACACACAC